UCGAACGGCAGCACGGNAGCUUGCUCUGGUGGCUUAGUGGCGAACGGGUGAGNAAUAUAUCGGAACGUACCCUGGAGUGGGGGAUAACGUAGCGAAAGUUACGCUAAUACCGCAUACGAUCUACGGAUGAAAGUGGGGGAUCGCAAGACCUCAUGCUCGUGGAGCGGCCGAUAUCUGAUUAGCUAGUUGGUAGGGUAAAAGCCUACCAAGGCAUCGAUCAGUAGCUGGUCUGAGAGGACGACCAGCCACACUGGAACUGAGACACGGUCCAGACUCCUACGGGAGGCAGCAGUGGGGAAUUUUGGACAAUGGGCGAAAGCCUGAUCCAGCAAUGCCGCGUGAGUGAAGAAGGCCUUCGGGUUGUAAAGCUCUUUUGUCAGGGAAGAAACGGUGAGGGCUAAUAUCUCUUGCUAAUGACGGUACCUGAAGAAUAANCACCGGCUAACUACGUGCCA
RNAcentral lists this ribosomal RNA (455 nucleotides) under uncultured bacterium. Its description in RNAcentral is "bacterial SSU rRNA". It matches the Rfam family "Bacterial small subunit ribosomal RNA", at positions 62 to 510 of the family's 1533-position model. The record is from RNAcentral.